GCAUUGACAUCUGAAUUCAAAAGAAGCAUAGAAUGUGACUACUAGUCCACACCAGCAUUUGAAUAUUCACAUGGCCAAUGACAAGAUGCUAAAAUCUUCAGCAAAUUCAAUGUCAACUCAGGGAUUCUGACAUAUACCUAUCACUCAAAAAUCAUCUAUGCUCACUAUAUAUAUUACUCUAUACAGGUUCAAAAGUUUAUGGCUAGAUCCUAUUUCACCUUUUAUGUCCAAUCUUGUAACUGUCAUUUUUUACACAGUUUGCAAUCCUGUUCUAUGUGCGAUGUGGAUGCAUAAGUAUCUGUACAGCUACUGUGCAUACUCAAUAAAUUGCACUUUGGCUGUGCAGGUACUUAACUCCAAAUGUGUCUUUUUUAAUGUUAAAUCCCCAAAUUGUAGUCUAGUAAAACAAGGAGAAGAGACCUCCUCUCUUUUAGCCCCAUAGUCUAGUGAUUAGGACAGUCACUCAUGAAGCAGGACAUUCAUAUUCUAAGACAAUCCUUCAUUUCUUACUUUGAAUCUACAGCUCUUGCUUUGCAGUACAGUACUCUAAUGACCAGGUAAAAGGUUAGGCAUUUAGCAAGUCCAUCUCCAGCCCUUCUUUUGAAGCUGAGCCACUGCUCUUUGCACUUAAUAUUCAUUGGAAAAAAUGGAUGGAGAACAACAUAGUUUCUGCCCUAGUGGGAGCAAGGCUCCAGGCUAGAGCCUAGAAUCCCCACCCUGCUAUUACAGCAUCCAUCUCAUUAAGCCACAUGGCUUGUUUGCUUUUUCCUGUCCCCACAUAUCUUCCUCUUUUGGCUGCCCAGAGGGCCAGCUUCAAGAUGAAUGCUGGUAGUAUGUGGCCUCAUGAUGAUUACCACUGUACUAGAGAGUAAGAGACGCAAGUUUAAACCCCUCUAGUUAAGGCAGACCUAAAACCUGUAUCUCUCACUUCCUGGAUAAACACCCUAACCACUAAGCUAUUGAGCUAAAACAUAGGAGAGUCCUUCUUUCCUACAACCAGCUAGUCAAAGGUUUUUGCUUAGCUACAACUUGUGGACUUAUAUUUAUUUAGGUAUGUGUGUAUGGAGCCACAUACUUGUCUAGUCAGAAUUCUGGCUACUAAGCAUGUUCACCAGCUGGGUGAAUGCUUGCAUAUUGACCGUGCAUGUGGAACAGGAUCACAAACUAUGCAUAAAUGCCAAAAGCAGCAGCUAGUUGGCUGGGUAAGGGUCAUUUAGGCAAGUCAAGUGCCUACAUGACUUGCCCAAGGCUGCAUAGGAAAUCUGCAGCAGAGCAGGGAAUUAUACCCACCUCAUUAGCUCUACCUAGUGGAACAUAUUUCUCUACCAGGGAAUGUAAAGAGGAAAAUGUAAUUACCUGAGUUGGGAUUAACCAAAGUCACCAUGGGACCUCUGUGGAGUAUACUAUCAAGGCUGAGUUUCUGUAAUAAUGGGUCUCAGAGAAAUUUGGUGGAUUAUAUACAGAGCUGGUUCUGUAGGGGUACUAAAGUUGGAUCUGCUCUGUGGGUGGAAGUAUGCAGUCAAGGAAUGGGAAGCUUCUUGGAAGAACUCAGCACAGCAGCAGGUAGUUUUAGUGGAUUAUUUUAGUGCAGAGAAACUUGCUGCAGGUAGCCACAGGUAGAUUGCUGUAUAAUCCAGCAGUCCUUCCUAGUCCAUGGGGCACCCUGCAGUUCACCGUGACCAAGUCUUUCAAAUGAGAUUUAAAACCUUCCUGCUAUUCCUGCCCUACUCCUCUGUCAGUGCUCAGGCAUACACUUGCCAUCUCUAUUGGGUUUUUGAAAACAGCAGAGCUAGGGAAUGGAUUAUAGCCUCUGUACUGUUCAUGGUGUGAGCUAGGUUGAAUUCUGGCAUGCUGGGAUUUCAAGGGUUAAAAAUCUUCUGUAAGUAUUGUGGCUUCUUUCCAAAAGGUUUCAGUUAACACCAAAGGUCUCCUGAUAGCUCACUCUCUUUAAUAGAUUUUUCCCAUUGACUUCUCCCUUUAUUGACUAUCAUUUCCUUUUCUGCAGGGCAGCUAUUUUCUGGGUCACUGAUCCAACCAACUUAAAAGGGAUUUCAUUGAUUGGAUUUUAUUGGUGGUUACUUCAGCCAUGAUGGACAGAGUUGCUAGUACCUGCUAACAGCUCUUCUGUUCCCACAUAGUGACUCCAAGCAACUCAGGGUGCAGCCUCCAAAGAGGAUUAAAAGGCAGCAUGACCGGCACACAGGUGGCUGCAACAAGGGACAGAGAAGAGGACAAAGAAGAGCUGGCAGAGCUGGCCAGUGGGGCAGAGCGGUUGCCCCAGAAGAGCCCAAAGACGACUUGUGGGACGGGGAGUAGCAAGUGGCUGCGUCCCCCAGUCCCGCCACAGGGAGCGUGGCGCUGGUGCACGGCAGGUCCUGGGAGGAGACUGAGACCCCAUAGCUGCACGUGGCAGCUCAGGUUUAAAACCCCAGCACAAGGCUGGACAUGCGGUGAAUAGGGGCCACUGGUGCACAGGAUGGUGCACAGGACCAGGAGGGGGCUGGAGGCUGGGAGAGCCUUGAGCAACUGAGGACCCCCUGCUGAGGGAGGAGAUGCCUCGGCCAGAGAGUGGCCUCGACAGGCCUCAGAGAGUUGUGAGUUGCCUGGGAAGGGGAUUUCCACAGGGGAGGAGGGUCUCCCCCAUCAUUUCUGUGGCUGGCAGCUGGACGGGAAGCCCCCUGAUGGGGGAGGGACCCCAGGUUUGAGGUCAGCCUUUUGGGUGAUUCAAGGAGGGUUACAGGGGCCCCCCCAUAGGGCAUUGGGGUAUCCCUUCACUCUUCUUAUCUUUGGGGCACUGCUAUUGCUCUAGGGCAGUGCAGGUUAUUUUUUGUUUUUUUUCUCUGGGACCUGCACCUUUUCAUUUGUAAACCCUGCAUCUCAGGCUUUGUCAAUCCUGUGCCUCAUAUUUUGUGAACUUACAUUCUUUUAGAGUAUAAGUUUGCAUGACUUAAUGAGACCCUUGCUUAGACCCCUUUGGUUCCUCACCUGUAUAUAGAGUGUCUGCAUAGAUAUAUAAAUAGUCUGCCUAUAGUUCCUGUAACUUAUGUAUAUGUUCAUUAUUAUAACUUUUAUAUUGUAUUAAAUUUGUAUAUAGAUAA
This is a long non-coding RNA of Alligator mississippiensis (American alligator), 3098 nucleotides long. RefSeq lists it as uncharacterized. The transcript is spliced from 2 exons. NCBI's taxonomy places the organism in Eukaryota, Metazoa, Chordata, Crocodylia, Alligatoridae. The record is from RefSeq and is a predicted model, not a curated record.